GUAGGUGAACCUGCGGAAGGAUCAUUAAAUAAUUUAGAUGGCCUCCUAGAACUUGUUCUAGUUAGGUUCAUUCUUUUUUACUGUGAACUGUUUUAAUUUUCAGCAUUUGAGGAAUGUCUUUUAGUCAUAGGGAUAGACUAUUAGAAUGUUAACCGAGCUGAAGUCAGGUUUAGACCUGGUAUCCUAUUAAUUAUUUACCAAAAGAAUUCAGUAUUAUUAUUGUAACAUAAGCGUAAAAAACUUAUAAAACAACUUUUAACAACGGAUCUCUUGGUUCUC
Molecule: unclassified non-coding RNA, 279 nt
Filed under: rhizosphere metagenome
Description: partial ribosomal RNA internal transcribed spacer region
Source: RNAcentral